This 606-nucleotide ribosomal RNA is filed under the name uncultured fungus. Its description in RNAcentral is "eukaryotic LSU rRNA". The stretch from base 244 to 397 matches the Rfam family "5.8S ribosomal RNA". Lineage: Eukaryota; Fungi. The record is from RNAcentral.
UCCGUAGGUGAACCUGCGGAAGGAUCAUUACCUUUCAGUACAGAAGCGUUGUGUUGGUUGAGUUGUGCUGGUUGAGUCUCGCUGAGAGGUGGGACUCCUGGUGGCAACUCCCUUCAUAAUUCUCCCUGUCUAUCAUCCUUGUCUUUUGCGUACUAUUGUUUCCUCGGUGGGCUUGCCUGCCGGUUGGACAACCUUAUAACCUAUUUAAUUUUCAAUCAGCGUCUGAAAUAAUAUAAUAAUUACAACUUUCAACAACGGAUCUCUUGGUUCUGGCAUCGAUGAAGAACGCAGCGAAAUGCGAUAAGUAGUGUGAAUUGCAGAAUUCAGUGAAUCAUCGAAUCUUUGAACGCACAUUGCGCCCCUUGGUAUUCCAUGGGGCAUGCCUGUUCGAGCGUCAUUAUCACCCCUCAAGCCUAGCUUGGUGUUGAGACCUGCUGUCAAGGCAGUCUCUAAAAUCAGUGGCAGUGCUGUCAGGCUCUAAGCGUAGUAAAUUCAUCGCUAUAGACACCUGGUGGCCACUCGCCAGAACCCCCCCAUUUUUUAAUGAUUGACCUCGGAUUAGGUAGGGAUACCCGCUGAACUUAAGCAUAUCAAUAAGCGGAGGAA